UACGGGGGGAGCAAGCGUUGUUCGGAUUUACUGGGCGUAAAGGGCGCGUAGGCGGUCAGCACAAGUCAGUUGUGAAAUCUCCGAGCUUAACUCGGAACGGUCAACUGAUACUGUGCGACUAGAGUGCGGAAGGGGCAACUGGAAUUCUCGGUGUAGCGGUGAAAUGCGUAGAUAUCGUAAGGAAGACCAGUGGCGAAGGCGGGUCUCUGGACAGUUCCUGACGCUGAGGCACGAAGGCCAGGGGAGCAAACGGG
RNAcentral lists this ribosomal RNA (254 nucleotides) under uncultured bacterium. Its description in RNAcentral is "partial 16S ribosomal RNA". It matches the Rfam family "Bacterial small subunit ribosomal RNA", at positions 524 to 776 of the family's 1533-position model. The record is from RNAcentral.